UCUCCAGCGGGCGGGGCGGGGCCGCCACGGGCCGCCCGCGAGUGGCGCCGGGAGGCGGUCGCCCUACGCCGCCCGGUAGGCCAACGGGCUCCCGGCCCACAGGCGGAAUCCGCCCGGGGAUGUCGCGGCGUGGGGGAGGGCCGAGAAUUCCCGAGGAAAGACAAGUAGCCCGGGUCGAGUCUCAGAAAAUGCGAGGAGCAACCCUGGUCAUGCAGAACCCGGAGUCCCACAAGGCAGGGAGAGCACGGCACGAGUAUGUGUGGACAAUGGAAAGGUGUGACAACGCACUGUGGAGGGGGGAAUAGUGUUAACCUUGGGAUUCACUCUCAGAGUUUGGAAUAGAGAAAAUACUCUCGCCACCCAAUUCUGCAGCACCACAUC
Molecule: long non-coding RNA, 381 nt
Filed under: Sus scrofa (pig)
Lineage: Eukaryota; Metazoa; Chordata; Mammalia; Artiodactyla; Suidae
Description: lncRNA (ENSSSCG00070001952.1)
Source: RNAcentral